UGUGGAUCUGGGUCAAAAGGACAUAUCUUGUUCAUCUUAUUGAUAUCAACAGUGUAACAGAUUGAAUUCUGCUUGCCUUAAUUGCUCUUUUUUUUCUUUCAUGGAACUAUGAUGUUGAUGGCCAAGUGAUCUAACAGACUGAACAUCUAGGAAAUAUAUGCUGCAGAUGGAGGACACCGGCAACGGAUGGUCCAUCUCAGGAUCUCUGGAACAUCAGAGGAUUCCUGGCUCUCUACUGCCAAAGAGUGGCUAGCACAGUCUUCACUGGAUCCUUCGGUGGAUUGCAGGA
Molecule: long non-coding RNA, 289 nt
Organism: Mauremys reevesii (Reeves's turtle)
Lineage: Eukaryota; Metazoa; Chordata; Testudines; Geoemydidae
Exons: 3
Source: RefSeq, a predicted model, not a curated record